Molecule: ribosomal RNA, 937 nt
Filed under: Fibrocapsa japonica
Lineage: Eukaryota; Raphidophyceae; Chattonellales; Chattonellaceae
Description: partial Bacterial small subunit ribosomal RNA
Rfam family: Bacterial small subunit ribosomal RNA
Source: RNAcentral
AUAUUGAGUUUGAUCCUGGCUCAGGAUGAAGGCUAGUAGUAAGCUUUAUACAUGCGAGUCGAAUGAUAAUAUAUCAUGGCGAACGGGUGAGAAUAAAAAAGGAAUCUACCUUUUAGUUAGGCGAAAAUACCUAAUAAGAUUUAAUUAUCGAAAAAAAAAAUUUGCUAAAAGACGAGCCUUUUUAAGAUUAGGUAGUUGGGGGAGUAAAAAUUUCUCAAGCCUACGAUCUUUAGUUGGUCUGAAAGGACGAUCAACCACACUGGGACUGAGACAAGGCCCAGGCUUCAGUAGAAGCCAGCAGUAGGGAAUAUUGGACAAUGAGCGAAAGCUUGAUCCAGCUAUACUACAUGAGUGAAAGACGACCAUUCGGUUGUAAAACUCUUUCAAAAGAGGAGAUAAUGACUGUCUCUUGAAAAGAAGCCCCGGCUAACCUCGUGCCAGCAGCCGCGGUAAUACGGGGGGGGCAAGUCUUAUCCGUCAGAACUCGGCGUAAAGGGUCCGUAGAUGGCAAAAACGUUCGAUUGGUUAAAAAGAAAAGCUCAACUUUUCUAGGGCCUUUCCUACCUUUUUGCUAGAGUUUAAGAGAGGAUAAUGGAAUUUUAGAAGAAGGGGUGAAAUCUGUAGAAUUCUAAAGGAACACCAAUGGCGAAGGCAAUUAUCUGGAUUAAAACUGACAUUGAGGGACGAAAGCAUAGGGAGCAAACAGGAUUCGGAACCCUGGUAGUCUAUGCCAUAAAAUAUGAAUGCUCGUAAAUAGGAUAUUAUCUUAUUUACCUAGUUAACACCUUAAGCAUUCCGCCUGAGGAGUAUACCCGCAAGAGUGGAACUCAAAGGAAUUGGCGGGGGUCUAUACAAGUGGUGGAGCAUGUGGUUUAAUGCGAUAAUCCGCGCAAAACCUUACCAACCCUAGACAGAAAAAACUAUUUUUUGAAAGUUU